CCUACGGGGGGCAGCAGUGGGGAAUAUUGCACAAUGGGGGAAACCCUGAUGCAGCGACGCCGCGUGAGUGAAGAAGUAUUUCGGUACGUAAAGCUCUAUCAGCAGGGAAGAAAAAAAGUCCUUUGGACUUUGGACGGUACCUGACCAAGAAGCCCCGGCUAACUACGUGCCAGCAGCCGCGGUAAUACGUAGGGGGCAAGCGUUAUCCGGAUUUACUGGGUAUAAAGGGAGCGUAGACGGUGAUGCAAGUCAGAAGUGAAAGCCCGCGGCUCAACUGCGGGACUGCUUUUGAAACUGUAUAACUA
RNAcentral lists this ribosomal RNA (305 nucleotides) under uncultured bacterium. Its description in RNAcentral is "partial 16S ribosomal RNA". It matches the Rfam family "Bacterial small subunit ribosomal RNA", at positions 338 to 643 of the family's 1533-position model. The record is from RNAcentral.